Molecule: long non-coding RNA, 761 nt
Filed under: Pavo cristatus (Indian peafowl)
Lineage: Eukaryota; Metazoa; Chordata; Aves; Galliformes; Phasianidae
Description: lncRNA (ENSPSTG00000008358.1)
Source: RNAcentral
AGAGCAUCACGAGUGGCCUUCAAAGUACUCAGAUAGUACUGAUAGCUGCUAGAGUUCGGGUUCUUCAUAAUUCUGCACCCAUAAAUCAGAGACCAGUUUUGAACUCUUCAACUCUGGGUAGUUGAGAAAGACUUAAUUGCAAGGAGGGAGGGAAGAAAAGGUGGUGUUGUCUUGCACAAAGGAUUAGGAUUUCAGAUAGCAACAGCAUCUGCUAGAGCUUGUGACUGUAUGGGUUGUAACACUUCAUAUGAUGAACUCUCAAAAGAUGAAGAGGCAUCUUUCUGCACUGGUGAUUUCCAGGGAACUGGUGAAGACAGACUGUCUAUAAAGCUGUGAAGAGUUUGACUAGGCACAGUUUCCACAUGCGCACUGGCUUCUGCAAUUUGCUCUCAGGAAUCCACUGUCAAUGUUGUGUUGCUGAACCCACAUCUCAGGAACAUCUGUGGGCAGGACUGCGUCACUCUGGAGGACUCUUUUGUAUCAGGCUUUUGACAUCUGCAGGAUACGAACUUCAAGCAGUUUCUUCAUUGGUUCUCCUGCAGAUAGCUGCAUACAACCAAAGGGAAAUAACUGCUUUGAGGACAAGAAAAAGUCUGAGUAACCAGUAUUUUCCAGACUCUGCUAUCACCUGGCUUGGAACGACUUCAGCUCUGUCCUCAUAUCCUGCACAUCUUUCAGCCAGUCUAGGAGCUGGGUGUCUGCAACACUGUACAAGUACAAGGAAAAUGAUCUCUGGGAGGGAAAGCAGAGCUGUUCUCUAA